Molecule: long non-coding RNA, 883 nt
Organism: Nicotiana tabacum (common tobacco)
Lineage: Eukaryota; Viridiplantae; Streptophyta; Magnoliopsida; Solanales; Solanaceae
Source: RefSeq, a predicted model, not a curated record
UCCACCACUGUAUGUUUGACCUCUCAUGCUACCAGACGGAAUAGUCUGAAUUGGCAGACCCCUCCAUUUUCCCCUUUCUUGCUGCACAACAUCCCAAGUUUUGAAGGCUACAGGAGAAGCCCAACCAUUUUGGGUAUUAAUCUGAAACAAAUCUGCUCAAAGUCUCGGGCAAAUCUCGCUCAUUAUAUGAUGAACGGCUAUUUUACCGUUCAAAACCCCACAUUUCAAAACGUUAGAGGUAAAAAUCCCGCCCAAAGAACCCUAAAAUCCGCCUAUAAAUAACAAGUUAUUGCAGCCAUUUAGGGGGGAGCUUCAGACGACACCUCUAUUCCCCUUCCAGUUUAAGUUAGCCUCUUAAGCUUGGCAGAGAUUUUCUCUGCUCUAGUUAUGUAGCUUUGUUUGUGAAAGGAGUUUGGACUGGAGAGUUGAGUGGCCCUCGCAAACGCCCUUAGUUCACUGCCCCGAAGAAGGGAUAUUUUUCAGUUAAUUUGAUGUGUUUCUCCAAGAUGCAAGUGAUGGCUGCACGGGAUGCGGAUUAUGAUCUCUCAAAUGUCCAAAGAAGAUUACUCCCGCAACUUAAUACUUGUUUUAGAUCUUGUCAACGGGACAGUGAUUGCAGUGAUUGUUGGAUUUGUUGUUCACGUUUAUUCGCAACAUUCAAUACUCUCCAGUGUGGUAUCGACGUGGGAGGCCAUAUAUAACAGUACGUCCUGUAGCCUAUUGAAAUAAUCUGCUACAAAAAAAUGUUGCUCGUUUAUGGUAUCCUGUAGCUUCUAUGAUUCCUUAAUGGUUACUUUUUCCGUGUUUAUCAUGUGUUGUAUGAAUAAUGAAGAUUGUCAAGUGAUGACACUCGAUUCAAGAAUAAAGACAUAUUUUGAUUUCA